CAGAGGGUGCGAGCGUUGUCCGGAAUCACUGGGCGUAAAGGGCGCGUAGGCGGCUUUUCAAGCGUGUGGUGAAAGCUCGGGGCUUAACUCCGAGUCUGCCGUGCGAACUGGGAGGCUUGAGUCUGGUAGAGGUCGAUGGAAUUCCGGGUGUAGCGGUGGAAUGCGUAGAGAUCCGGAAGAACACCGGUGGCGAGGGCGGUCGACUGGGCCAGUACUGACGCUGAGGCGCGACAGCGUGGGGAGCAAACAGGAUUAGAUACCCUGGUAGUCCACGCCGUAAACGAUGGGCACUAGGUCCUUGGGGGAGCGACCCCUUGAGGGCCGGCGCUAACGCAUUAAGUGCCCCGCCUGGGGAGUACGCCGCAAGGCUG
This 371-nucleotide ribosomal RNA is filed under the name uncultured organism. RNAcentral describes it as "bacterial SSU rRNA". It matches the Rfam family "Bacterial small subunit ribosomal RNA", at positions 526 to 896 of the family's 1533-position model. The record is from RNAcentral.